Molecule: ribosomal RNA, 253 nt
Filed under: uncultured bacterium
Lineage: Bacteria
Description: partial 16S ribosomal RNA
Rfam family: Bacterial small subunit ribosomal RNA
Source: RNAcentral
UACAGAGGGGGCAAGCGUUGUUCGGAAUUACUGGGCGUAAAGGGUGCGUAGGUGGCCCUGUAAGUCAGUGGUGAAAUAUCUCAGCUUAACUGAGAGGGUGCCAUUGAUACUGCAGGGCUUGAGUACAGAUGAGGUAGGCGGAAUUGACGGUGUAGCGGUGAAAUGCAUAGAUAUCGUCAAGAACACCGAUAGCGAAGGCAGCUUACCAAGCUGUAACUGACACUGAGGCACGAAAGUGUGGGGAUCAAACAGG